UGCUUGGGUAUCUGCCCUGUUGUGGGGGAUAACAGCUGGAAACGGCUGCUAAUACCGCAUAAUAUCUACGGAUCAAAGGUGGCCUCUUCUUGAAAGCUAUCGCGAUAGGAUGAACCCAAGUGGGAUUAGCUUGUUGGUGAGGUAACGGCUCACCAAGGCGACGAUCCCUAGCUGGUCUGAGAGGAUGAUCAGCCACACUGGAACUGAGACACGGUCCAGACUCCUACGGGAGGCAGCAGUGGGGAAUAUUGCACAAUGGGCGAAAGCCUGAUGCAGCCAUGCCGCGUGUGUGAAGAAGGC
RNAcentral lists this ribosomal RNA (300 nucleotides) under uncultured Gammaproteobacteria bacterium. Its description in RNAcentral is "bacterial SSU rRNA". It matches the Rfam family "Bacterial small subunit ribosomal RNA", at positions 114 to 415 of the family's 1533-position model. Lineage: Bacteria; Pseudomonadati; Pseudomonadota; Gammaproteobacteria. The record is from RNAcentral.